AAAAUUCAGCUCAGCACUACAACCUCCUUUGGGACAGUCAGUGGAACUAGAGAAGACUCUACGCUUAAAUCACUGCAGCCAUGCUGAAGGUAGCACUUAUUCUUGGAUGCCUCCUGAGCCUCAUUGUGGCUACACCAAUGGAGCACCAGCGAUUUGCUCGCUCUGGAUCUGGCUCUGGAUCGAACUCCGGAGAGACCUCAACAACUAACCUUGCCACCCUGCUAUCCCUGCUUGUCCAGCUUCUUGCCACCACCACCACAACUACAACAACUACAACAGCAGCUACAACACCUGCUGCUACUUCAUAAAAUGGAAUCUUGAACAUCAGCAACUUUGUCAUGUGUUGCUGAGAAAUUGGAAAUCGGUUUUGUUUUCCUAAAACAUGGAUCAAACCUGCCAUCAUGUUUGGUAUCUUAUUAAUAAAGUUU
Poecilia latipinna (sailfin molly) is the source of this 428-nucleotide long non-coding RNA. RefSeq lists it as uncharacterized. The transcript is spliced from 4 exons. Lineage: Eukaryota; Metazoa; Chordata; Actinopteri; Cyprinodontiformes; Poeciliidae. The record is from RefSeq and is a predicted model, not a curated record.